AGGACGAACGCUGGCGGCGUGCUUAAUACAUGCAAGUCGAACGGAGUUAGAGACUCGGUUUUAACUUAGUGGCGAACGGGUGAGUAACGCGUGAGCAACCUGACUCAAAGAGGGGGACAACAGCUGGAAACGGCUGCUAAUACCGCAUAAGACCACAGGGAGGCAUCUUCAAGGGGUCAAAGAAAUUCGCUUUGAGAGGGGCUCGCGUCCCAUUAGAUAGUUGGUGAGGUAACGGCCCACCAAGUCCGCGAUGGGUAGCCGAGCUGAGAGGCUGAUCGGCCACACUGGAACUGAGACACGGUCCAGACUCCUACGGGAGGCAGCAGUAGGGAAUAUUGGGCAAUGGGCGCAAGCCUGACCCAGCAACGCCGCGUGAGGGAAGAAGGUUUUCGGAUUGUAAACCUCUGUCCUAUGUGACGAAGGAAGUGACGGUAGCAUAGGAGGAAGCCCCGGCUAACUACGUGCCAGCCGCCGC
Molecule: ribosomal RNA, 475 nt
Filed under: uncultured bacterium
Lineage: Bacteria
Description: bacterial SSU rRNA
Rfam family: Bacterial small subunit ribosomal RNA
Source: RNAcentral